UUAUUAGAAACCAAACUAGAGGUAUGCCGUUGUUAACGGUAAAAUUGAAUAAACAUUUCCUAAUAA
Molecule: transfer RNA, 66 nt
Filed under: Domecia hispida
Lineage: Eukaryota; Metazoa; Arthropoda; Malacostraca; Decapoda; Domeciidae
Description: tRNA-Asn
Source: RNAcentral